RNAcentral lists this ribosomal RNA (253 nucleotides) under uncultured bacterium. RNAcentral's name for it is "partial 16S ribosomal RNA". It matches the Rfam family "Bacterial small subunit ribosomal RNA", at positions 524 to 776 of the family's 1533-position model. The record is from RNAcentral.
UACAGAGGGUGCGAGCGUUAAUCGGAAUUACUGGGCGUAAAGCGUGCGUAGACGGUCAUGUAAGUCGGGUGUGAAAGCCCCGGGCUCAACCCGGGAAGUGCACUCGAUACUGCGUAGCUUGAGUCUCGGAGAGGUUGGUGGAAUUCUCGGUGUAGAGGUGAAAUUCGUAGAUAUCGAGAGGAACACCGGUGGCGAAGGCGGCCAACUGGACGAAGACUGACGCUGAGACACGAAAGCGUGGGGAGCAAACAGG